Glycine soja is the source of this 466-nucleotide long non-coding RNA. RefSeq lists it as uncharacterized. Lineage: Eukaryota; Viridiplantae; Streptophyta; Magnoliopsida; Fabales; Fabaceae. The record is from RefSeq and is a predicted model, not a curated record. The transcript is spliced from 4 exons.
UGCAGCAGUUAAGUGAACAAAUGAAGUGUCCACAGUCAUUGGAUGGUUGCUUGGUAGAGGUACAUGCUAAUAACUAAUAAGAUUUCCUGUGCAGGGUAUCAUUGUUUUUGCAUGACUGAUGGCUACCUUGGGGCUGGAGAUUUUGGUUGAAUCUGCCUCAAGUGUUAUUUUGAAGAUGAUAUUAUCAUUUGACCUUGCUUUUGCUUUGAUUCCGCUCCUAAAGUUCAGUAGCAGCAAAGUGACUAGCAGCACAAGCAUUGAAGAGAGAUUGCAGGGAUUCCAAGGGAAGGGGACCAGGGGAUGAAAAAUAUGAUUAAAGAGAGUUCUUGAGGAGUUUGUCACAUGCUCAGGGAAGUGGAAGAUUUUGCACGAAGGUUAAAUUCUGCUUGGCCUGAAAGGAUGCAAAUUUGAUCUUUGGCCCAACACAGAAGACUAGUAACAAUUUCUAUGAAUAGCAAUGGUUCAA